Molecule: non-coding RNA, 1307 nt
Organism: Phalacrocorax carbo (great cormorant)
Lineage: Eukaryota; Metazoa; Chordata; Aves; Suliformes; Phalacrocoracidae
Source: RefSeq, a predicted model, not a curated record
UGGAACAGUGAAGCUGUGUGUCCCUGCAGACAACAAUGAAAAAGGCAGAGAAACCUAGAGGUCUCAACCCUAUAGUCUGAUCCCUACUGCUGUGGGUGAAGCCCCAGGGAUCUGGAGCCUUUGCAGGGCCAUCGGGAGCAGCAACACCCAGAGGCUGCAGGAGGCAGCGGAGUUUGGGCACCCCAGGUCAGCCGAAGGACGGAGUUGGGGCUCUCCUCUCUCAAUGGCAGGGUUUGUCCAGGCGAUGAACAAGGAGGUGGGAAAGAGCAUCCUGGUGAGUCUGUUCAAGAGGAACUCGUGUCCUGGACCGUGUAUAUCUGUGUGGCUCCCCGGGAGGACCAACAGCCGCUGCAAUACGGCCAAAAGCCCCGGGAAAAAUCACGACGUCAAUUUGCUGAGUGAAAUGCAGGGCCUCUAACCCUGCAUCAUGGAGGGGCUGGCUGAGGCCCCCGCUGGGAGAUGCCCUGGGCUUUCACCCAGUGAGAUGCUUCUGGACCACGGCCGCGGGGGAAGCAGUUUCUCUCCGUUAUCCUCUCCCACUUUGGCCCAAGGCCAUCGCAGCAUUUCCCUCCCUGCUCUUGCAGAACCCGGUCCCGAGCAGUGGAUGCCAUGUCGUUUGAAAAGCUACUUAGUGCUUUUUAUUAUCUGGUCAUUAUUUUUCCACUGAAGCCUGAGAUAAGCAAAGCAUAAAUCAAACCAGAACAGGAGCCACUUGGCGCAGGGCAGCCUCCAUCCAUCACUCCAUCCCUCCAUGCCUCCGGAGCUGUUUGAUGUGCUACCCUCCGCUCUCCCAUCCCGCAUCCCCCCCAUCGGGCAGCUCUGACAAGGGAAAGCCCAGGAAUUUAUUCCGAUAAAGAAAAUGCAAUCAAAUAAAUAGAGGAGGAAAUAAAUAAGACUAUCAGGAAAGCUUCUGCUGCGCUGGUUGGAUCCCUGCCUCGCGAGGCUUCUGGAGAGCUGCUGACACUGGGAGCAUCUUCUGAAAUGGAUGGACUUUGCCUCUUGCCUCAUACAUCUGUUUAAUGACCUCUCCUUGCAGGCACUUGACAUGUGAUUUAUGGGAUAUAAAUUUUACCUCUUAGCUUCGGUGCUGCAAUCGCUACGUUCUGCAAGGUGAGAGCACCUCACUCCGCAGGGACGCCGUGCCGGCUCCCUCGCCCUCCUGCUCGCUGAACUUUCUUCCUAUGGCCCUUCCUUUAAAAAAAAAAAGAAACAAACCAAAAAAAGCCAACAACCAAAAAAACAACAGACAUUUAAAUAUGUGUUUUUUCCUCUUUAAAAGAAAACAGCUGAUUUCCUGCAAAUAAUAA